This is a long non-coding RNA of Spinacia oleracea (spinach), 875 nucleotides long. RefSeq lists it as uncharacterized. The record is from RefSeq and is a predicted model, not a curated record. Lineage: Eukaryota; Viridiplantae; Streptophyta; Magnoliopsida; Caryophyllales; Amaranthaceae. The transcript has 2 exons.
CCUUUGUGUUGUUGGCUCGUCGCUGCGCAAGGCAAGCUGCCUUGCUUGCUCGCAGCACUCGCAAGCCAAGGCAGCUGCCACUACAAGAAAUCCGGACUUUACCUACCAAAAAUUACCGACAGCUCUAAUAUUGGUAGGUAAUAUACAAAUUACCGACUUCUUAAUUUACAGUCGGAAAUUACCGACCGAAAAAAUUGACAGUCGGAAAUUACCGACCGAAAAAAUUAUGUACCAACCGUAUAGCAGUAGGUAAUUCUUUUUUCAACUUUUAGAAUACGACUGAUCAUCCUAGUAUAAAAAAGAAAACCCUACAUUCUCUUGUUCUCUCCGCCUCCCACUCCAUCCUCUCACAUCACAUUCUUUCUUCUCUUGUUCUCUCCGCCUCCCACUAUUUUCUCUCACCUCAUCUUCCUCUCGUUCUUUGGCCUCUUUCACUUUCUCAUCUCCACUUAAUCUCUUCCCCUCCUAUGUUCUUUACUUAAUACUCGUGUUUUUCUUCUUGAAUUUGAUAACCAAAGUUCAAAUUCUAGAAAGAUUCAAAUAAAGAAUUGUUGUGGCAAAUUAGUCGGGCGAAGAUGAAAGGUGAAAAUCUGAAGGAAUCGAGCAAAAAUUUGAUAUGAGGAACUCAAGCAGUGAAGCAGCACCGAAUAUUUGAUGUGACGGGGUACUGUACUCAAGCAGCAGCAGCAACAACACGGAGGAACUCAAAAUCAACUUUUUUUUAAAGAAAAUUUAGAUAAGUCUGACAUUUAUUAGUGUAUAUUGUUUGGUAGAUUUUAUUAGAUUUUUAGAUCCUAAGUUAUUUUUUAUAUGAUAUACAUUGUAUUGUGAAUUUUAUCAUAUUAAUAAUACUGCAAAAGUGUAGUUUAUGUUAA